AAUAGAUACCCUGGUAGUCCACGCCGUAAACGAUGAGUGCUAAGUGUUAGAGGGUUUCCGCCCUUUAGUGCUGCAGCAAACGCAUUAAGCACUCCGCCUGGGGAGUACGGUCGCAAGACUGAAACUCAAAGGAAUUGACGGGGGCCCGCACAAGCGGUGGAGCAUGUGGUUUAAUUCGAAGCAACGCGAAGAACCUUACCAGGUCUUGACAUCCUUAUGCCUGCUCUGGAGACAGAGUUUUCCCUUCGGGGACAUAAGUGACAGGUGGUGCAUGGUUGUCGUCAGCUCGUGUCGUGAGAUGUUGGGUUAAGUCCCGCAACGAGCGCAACCCUUGAUCUUAGUUGCCAGCAUUCAGUUGGGCACUCUAAGGUGACUGCCGGUGACAAACCGGAGGAAGGUGGGGAUGACGUCAAAUCAUCAUGCCCCUUAUGACCUGGGCUACACACGUGCUACAAUGGAUGGUACAAAGGGCAGCAAAACCGCGAGGUUGAGCCAAAUCCCAUAAAAACCAUUCUCAGUUCGGAUUGC
RNAcentral lists this ribosomal RNA (528 nucleotides) under uncultured bacterium. RNAcentral describes it as "bacterial SSU rRNA". It matches the Rfam family "Bacterial small subunit ribosomal RNA", at positions 777 to 1301 of the family's 1533-position model. The record is from RNAcentral.